Molecule: ribosomal RNA, 166 nt
Filed under: Solanum nigrum (black nightshade)
Lineage: Eukaryota; Viridiplantae; Streptophyta; Magnoliopsida; Solanales; Solanaceae
Description: 5.8S ribosomal RNA
Rfam family: 5.8S ribosomal RNA
About the family: 5.8S ribosomal RNA (5.8S rRNA) is a component of the large subunit of the eukaryotic ribosome. It is transcribed by RNA polymerase I as part of the 45S precursor that also contains 18S and 28S rRNA.
Source: RNAcentral
CCAAAACGACUCUCGGCAACGGAUAUCUCGGCUCUCGCAUCGAUGAAGAACGUAGCGAAACGCGACACUUGGUGUGAAUUGCAGAAUCCCGUGAACCAUCGAGUCUUUGAACGCAAGUUGCGCCCGAAGCCAUUAGGCCGAGGGCACGUCUGCCUGGGCGUCACGC